GUGUCAGCAGCCGCGGUAAUACGUAGGGGGCAAGCGUUGUCCGGAUUUAUUGGGCGUAAAGAGCGUGUAGGCGGCCAGAUAGGUCGGUUGUGAAAACUGGAGGCUCAACCUCCAGACGUCGACCGAAACCCUCUGGCUAGAGUCCGGAAGAGGAGAGUGGAAUUCCUGGUGUAGCGGUGAAAUGCGCAGAUAUCAGGAGGAACACCCGUGGCGAAAGCGGCUCUCUGGGACGGUACUGACGCUGAGACGCGAAAGCGUGGGGAGCGAACAGGAUUAGAUACCCUAGUAGUCC
This 292-nucleotide ribosomal RNA is filed under the name uncultured bacterium. RNAcentral's name for it is "partial 16S ribosomal RNA". It matches the Rfam family "Bacterial small subunit ribosomal RNA", at positions 505 to 796 of the family's 1533-position model. The record is from RNAcentral.